AGUGAACGCUGGCGGCAGGCCUAACACAUGCAAGUCGAGCGGCAGCGCGGGGGCAACCCUGGCGGCGAGCGGCGGACGGGUGAGGAAUGCAUUGGAAUUUACCUCGUUGUGGGGGAUAACGUAGGGAAACUUACGCUAAUUCCGCAUUCGACCUACGGGUGAAAGUGGGGGGCCGCAAGGCCUCCCGCGAUGAGAUGAGCCGAUGCCGGAUUAGCUAGUUGGCGGGGUAAAGGCCCCCCAAGGCGACGAUCCGUAGCUGGUUUGAGAGGAUGAUCAGCCCCACUGGAACUGAGACCCGGUCCCGACUCCUUCGGGAGGCAGCAGUGGGGAAUAUUGGACAAUGGGCGCAAGCCUGAUCCAGCCCUGCCGCGUGUGUGAAGAAGGCCUUCGGGUUGUAAAGCACUUUUGUUGGGGAAGAAACCGACCGGAUUAAUACUGCGGUUGAAUGACGGUACCCAAAGAAUAAGCACCGGCUAACUUCGUG
This 484-nucleotide ribosomal RNA is filed under the name uncultured bacterium. RNAcentral's name for it is "bacterial SSU rRNA". It matches the Rfam family "Bacterial small subunit ribosomal RNA", at positions 29 to 507 of the family's 1533-position model. The record is from RNAcentral.